CAAUAGCGUAUAUUAAAGCUGUUGCGGUUAAAAAGCUCGUAGUUGGAUUUCUGUCAAGGACAACUGGUCCGCCCCUCGGGUGAGCACAUAGUUUGGUCUUGGCAUCUUGUUGGAAACUGUUGCUGCACUUGGUUGUGUGGCGCAGUGUCCAGCACUUUCACUUUGAGGAAAUUGGAGUGUUUCAAGCAGGCACAUGCCUUUGGACACAGUAGCAUGGAAUAAUUAGAUUGGGCUUUUGCUCCAACUUGUCGGUUUCUGGAGCUGAGGUGAGAAUUAAUGGGGAUUGUUGGGGGCAUCCGAAUUUAGCCGUCAGAGGUGAAAUUCUUGGAUCUGCUAAAGACGGACAACUACGAAAGCGUUUGCCCAGGAUGUUUUCAUUGA
Molecule: ribosomal RNA, 381 nt
Filed under: uncultured eukaryote
Lineage: Eukaryota
Description: partial 18S ribosomal RNA
Rfam family: Eukaryotic small subunit ribosomal RNA
Source: RNAcentral